GGGUACAUAGUGAUUUCAGGUCGAAGGGUGGAAUACACCACUUAUCACUAUGAGAAUAUCUUAUGACAUUUCAUAACACACUAUGUAGUAUUCUAACGGUGGGUCAAUCCAAUACAAAUGUUACCAUUAACAUUUAUAUCUAUGUGAAGACUUGAUAACUCUUUAUCUAUGAUCCGUGAGAUGUGAUCAUCAGUCUACCAACAUAAUAGCCUCU
This 214-nucleotide long non-coding RNA is filed under the name Trifolium pratense (red clover). Its description in RNAcentral is "long non-coding RNA (TPRA_LNC005447)". Lineage: Eukaryota; Viridiplantae; Streptophyta; Magnoliopsida; Fabales; Fabaceae. The record is from RNAcentral.